Molecule: ribosomal RNA, 433 nt
Filed under: uncultured bacterium
Lineage: Bacteria
Description: partial 16S ribosomal RNA
Rfam family: Bacterial small subunit ribosomal RNA
Source: RNAcentral
AACGAACGCUGGCGGCAUGCCUAACACAUGCAAGUCGAACGAGACCUUCGGGUCUAGUGGCGCACGGGUGCGUAACGCGUGGGAACCUGCCCUUAGGUUCGGAAUAACUCCCCGAAAGGGGUGCUAAUACCGGAUAAUGUCUUCGGACCAAAGAUUUAUCGCCUUUGGAUGGGCCCGCGUUGGAUUAGCUUGUUGGUAGGGUAAAAGCCUACCAAGGCGACGAUCCAUAGCUGGUUUGAGAGGAUGAUCAGCCACACUGGGACUGAGACACGGCCCAGACUCCUACGGGAUGCAGCAGUGGGGAAUAUUGGACAAUGGGCGAAAGCCUGAUCCAGCAAUGCCGCGUGAGUGAUGAAGGCCUGAGGGUUGUAAAGCUCUUUUACCCGGGAUGAUAAUGACAGUACCGGGAGAAUAAGCUCCGGCUAACUCCGUG